This is a small nuclear RNA of Choloepus hoffmanni (Hoffmann's two-fingered sloth), 104 nucleotides long. The record is from Ensembl. NCBI's taxonomy places the organism in Eukaryota, Metazoa, Chordata, Mammalia, Pilosa, Megalonychidae.
GUGUGACUAGGCAGCACAUAAACAAAAGAUAGAACAACUCAGUAAAGAUUAUCAGGACUUUGCACAAGGAUGACAUGCAAAUUCAUGAAGUGUCUCUUGUUUUU